This 602-nucleotide ribosomal RNA is filed under the name uncultured bacterium. RNAcentral's name for it is "bacterial SSU rRNA". The stretch from base 1 to 518 matches the Rfam family "Bacterial small subunit ribosomal RNA", at positions 338 to 873 of the family's 1533-position model. The record is from RNAcentral.
CCUACGGGAGGCAGCAGUGGGGAAUAUUGGACAAUGGGGGCAACCCUGAUCCAGCCAUGCCGCGUGAGUGAUGAAGGCCUUCGGGUUGUAAAGCUCUUUUGGCGGGGACGAUGAUGACGGUACCCGCAGAAUAAGCCCCGGCUAACUUCGUGCCAGCAGCCGCGGUAAGACGAAGGGGGCUAGCGUUGUUCGGAAUUACUGGGCGUAAAGCGCGUGUAGGCGGUUUGCCAAGUCGGGUGUGAAAGCCUUGGGCUUAACCCAAGAAAUGCACUCGGUACUGGCAGACUAGAGGACCGGAGAGGAUAGUGGAAUUCCCAGUGUAGUGGUGAAAUACGUAGAGAUUGGGAAGAACACCAGUGGCGAAGGCGGCUAUCUGGACGGUUUCUGACGCUAAGACGCGAAAGCGUGGGGAGCAAACAGGAUUAGAUACCCUGGUAGUCCACGCCGUAAACGAUGGGUGCUAGACGUUGGCGAGCUUGCUCGUCAGUGUCGCAGCUACGUACGUACGUACACCCGCCGUCGGGACGGUACGGCCGCGACGUACGUAACCGAAACGAACGUAGACGGCGUGAGACGNGCGACGACGACGACGAGGGAGUAGG